Molecule: ribosomal RNA, 1060 nt
Filed under: uncultured bacterium
Lineage: Bacteria
Description: bacterial SSU rRNA
Rfam family: Bacterial small subunit ribosomal RNA
Source: RNAcentral
AGAGUUUGAUCCUGGCUCAGAUUGAACGCUGGCGGCAGGCCUAACACAUGCAAGUCGAACGGUAACAGGAUGUGCUUGCACAUCGCUGACGAGUGGCGGACGGGUGAGUAAUGCUUGGGAAUUUGCCUUUGCGAGGGGGAUAACAGUUGGAAACGACUGCUAAUACCGCAUAACGUCUACGGACCAAAGGGGGCUUUUAGCUCUCGCGUGAAGAGAAGCCCAAGUGAGAUUAGCUAGUUGGUGAGGUAAAGGCUCACCAAGGCGACGAUCUCUAGCUGUUCUGAGAGGAAGAUCAGCCACACUGGGACUGAGACACGGCCCAGACUCCUACGGGAGGCAGCAGUGGGGAAUAUUGCACAAUGGGGGAAACCCUGAUGCAGCCAUGCCGCGUGUGUGAAGAAGGCCUUCGGGUUGUAAAGCACUUUCAGUUGUGAGGAAAGGUUAGUAGUUAAUACCUGCUAGCUGUGACGUUAGCAACAGAAGAAGCACCGGCUAACUCCGUGCCAGCAGCCGCGGUAAUACGGAGGGUGCGAGCGUUAAUCGGAAUUACUGGGCGUAAAGCGCACGCAGGCGGAUUGUUAAGCUAGAGGUGAAAGCCCCGCGCUCAACGUGGGAAUUGCCUUUAGAACUGGCAGUCUAGAGUCUUGGAGAGGGGAGUGGAAUUCCAGGUGUAGCGGUGAAAUGCGUAGAGAUCUGGAGGAACAUCAGUGGCGAAGGCGACUCCCUGGCCAAAGACUGACGCUCAUGUGCGAAAGUGUGGGUAGCGAACAGGAUUAGAUACCCUGGUAGUCCACACCGUAAACGCUGUCUACUAGCUGUUUGUGACUUUAAGUCGUGAGUAGCGAAGCUAACGCGCUAAGUAGACCGCCUGGGGAGUACGGCCGCAAGGUUAAAACUCAAAUGAAUUGACGGGGGCCCGCACAAGCGGUGGAGCAUGUGGUUUAAUUCGAUGCAACGCGAAGAACCUUACCUACACUUGACAUGCUGAGAAGUUACUAGAGAUAGUUUCGUGCCUUCGGGAACUCAGACACAGGUGCUGCAUGGCUGUCGUCAGCUCGUG